RNAcentral lists this ribosomal RNA (254 nucleotides) under uncultured bacterium. Its description in RNAcentral is "partial 16S ribosomal RNA". It matches the Rfam family "Bacterial small subunit ribosomal RNA", at positions 524 to 776 of the family's 1533-position model. The record is from RNAcentral.
UACGUAGGGGGCGAGCGUUGUCCGGAUUCAUUGGGCGUAAAGCGCUUUAAGGCGGUUCGCUAAGUCGGGUGUGAAACCUCCAGGCUCAACCUGGAGACGCCACUCGAUACUGGCGUGACUAGAGUUCGGUAGGGGACCACGGAAUUCCUGGUGUAGCGGUGAAAUGCGCAGAUAUCAGGAGGAACACCAGUGGCGAAGGCGGUGGUCUGGGCCGAUACUGACGCUGUAGAGCGAAAGCGUGGGGAGCAAACAGG